RNAcentral lists this unclassified non-coding RNA (348 nucleotides) under soil metagenome. Its description in RNAcentral is "partial contains 5.8S ribosomal RNA, internal transcribed spacer 2, and large subunit ribosomal RNA". The stretch from base 1 to 120 matches the Rfam family "5.8S ribosomal RNA", at positions 35 to 154 of the family's 154-position model. The record is from RNAcentral.
GAUGAAGAACGUAGCGAAAUGCGAUAAGUAAUGUGAAUUGCAGAAUUCAGUGAAUCAUCGAAUCUUUGAACGCACAUUGCGCCCCCUGGUAUUCCGGGGGGCAUGCCUGUCCGAGCGUCAUUACAACCCUCAAGCCCCCGGGUUUGGUGUUGGGGAUCGGCUCUGCCCUUCUGGGCGGUGCCGCCCCCGAAAUACAUUGGCGGUCUCGCUGCAGCCUCCAUUGCGUAGUAGCUAACACCUCGCAACUGGAACGCGGCGCGGCCAUGCCGUAAAACCCCAACUUCUGAAUGUUGACCUCGGAUCAGGUAGGAAUACCCGCUGAACUUAAGCAUAUCAAUAAGCGGAGGA